ACGGGUGCGUAACGCGUGGGAAUCUACCCUUAGGUUCGGAAUAACAGUUGGAAACGACUGCUAAUACCGGAUGAUGACGUAAGUCCAAAGAUUUAUCGCCUAGGGAUGAGCCCGCGUAGGAUUAGCUAGUUGGUGUGGUAAAGGCGCACCAAGGCGACGAUCCUUAGCUGGUCUGAGAGGAUGAUCAGCCACACUGGGACUGAGACACGGCCCAGACUCCUACGGGAGGCAGCAGUGGGGAAUAUUGGACAAUGGGCGAAAGCCUGAUCCAGCAAUGCCGCGUGAGUAAUGAAGGCCUUAGGGUUGUAAAGCUCUUUUACCCGGGAUGAUAAUGACAGUACCGGGAGAAUAAGCUCCGGCUAACUCCGUGCCAGCAGCCGCGGUAAUACGGAGGGAGCUAGCGUUAUUCGGAAUUACUGGGCGUAAAGCGCACGUAGGCGGCUUUGUAAGUUAGAGGUGAAAGCCUGGUGCUCAACACCAGAACUGCCUUUGAUACUGCAUCGCUUGAAUCCAGGAGAGGUGAGUGGAAUUCCGAGUGUAGAGGUGAAAUUCGUAGA
RNAcentral lists this ribosomal RNA (557 nucleotides) under uncultured Sphingomonas sp. Its description in RNAcentral is "bacterial SSU rRNA". It matches the Rfam family "Bacterial small subunit ribosomal RNA", at positions 102 to 694 of the family's 1533-position model. Lineage: Bacteria; Pseudomonadati; Pseudomonadota; Alphaproteobacteria; Sphingomonadales; Sphingomonadaceae. The record is from RNAcentral.